RNAcentral lists this ribosomal RNA (468 nucleotides) under uncultured bacterium. RNAcentral describes it as "bacterial SSU rRNA". It matches the Rfam family "Bacterial small subunit ribosomal RNA", at positions 337 to 796 of the family's 1533-position model. The record is from RNAcentral.
UCCUACGGGAGGCAGCAGUGAGGAAUCUUGCGCAAUGGGGGCAACCCUGACGCAGCAACGCCGCGUGAGUGAGGAAGGUCUUCGGAUCGUAAAGCUCUGUCGGGUGGAAAGAAACGUAUGGAAGCUAAUACCUUUCAUACUUGACGGUACCACCAAAGGAAGCACCGGCUAACUCCGUGCCAGCAGCCGCGGUAAUACGGGGGGUGCAAGCGUUGUUCGGAAUCAUUGGGCGUAAAGGGCGUGUAGGCGGCUUGGUAAGUCAGAUGUGAAAGCCCUGGGCUUAACCCAGGAAGUGCAUUUGAAACUGUCAGGCUUGAGUAGGGGAGAGGAAGGUGGAAUUCCUGGUGUAGAGGUGAAAUUCGUAGAUAUCAGGAGGAACACCGGUGGCGAAGGCGACCUUCUGGCCCUAUACUGACGCUGAGACGCGAAAGCGUGGGUAGCAAACAGGAUUAGAUACCCGAGUAGUCC